This is a non-coding RNA of Zonotrichia albicollis (white-throated sparrow), 2246 nucleotides long. The record is from RefSeq and is a predicted model, not a curated record. NCBI's taxonomy places the organism in Eukaryota, Metazoa, Chordata, Aves, Passeriformes, Passerellidae.
CUGGAGAUGGGAGAGUAGCAGGUUGAGAGUUCUUGGGCCAGAUUUAAAAAUUACCAGCGGGAAAAGCAAUCUUCCCCAAGGGGCCUGUUAGGACAGCUAAAGGGAGAGGCUCUACUUUUGAUGGCAGCUUUCAGGCGGGCAGUGCAGAACAGCUCUGGUCUGUGUCGUGUUGUCUGGUGUACCGUGUUCCCUAGUGUGUCUUUGGGGUCCCUUUUGCCUUUUCCCCUUGAGGCCCUCACCACAAGCAUGAUGUGUGGUGUUUGAUGUCCCCCUGUUUGUCACGUUCUGUGUCACGGGUGUCUGCACAUAUUUGUGCUGGAGCUGUGCUGCCCUGCCGCAUGGCCAGCUGCAAUAGGCCGAGCCUUGGGGAGUUGAAAUUUGUAAUUUGGGUGUACUUGGGCUCUAGAUGCUAUUCCUAGAUUGACAUAAGGUGUUUGCAGCUUGUAAGUUAUCCUGGUGGUGUUUGACAUAUGUUCUAACUUUCUUUCAGGUGCAGAUGCAUUGCAUCCAUGGCAGAGGGUCAGAGUUAGCAGGUGCCGGGCAUUCCUAGGAGCACGCUGUCUGAGAGACACCAGCCCGGUGACAGCAGGACCUUCCCAGCUGAUGAGGUGGCCUUUCUUUGCACCUGAUAGGGACCGACAUCCCCAGAUGUCUGAGAGAUAAGUAGAGGGCCAUGACCCACAGAGGGGAUGAAAGCAGGGUGCUGGUUUGGGAAUUACUGGGAGGGGUUUCUGAGUCCAAUUUGGAGGUGGGGGUGUCCAUGAAGUGGCCCCUUAGGCCCCAUAAAAGCAAAGUCUCACUUUUGGUCACAGUGCUGAGGUGUGCAGCAGGGCAGAGCAGUCCCGGUGUGUCUCAUGUCACUUGUCUAUUGUGCAUUAUGUGUUGCUUGGAUAUCUCAUGUCUUUUACCUUAGCCUUUGAGGGGCCUGUCAGAAACCUUGGCAUCAUUGUUAGCAUCUGUGAUCUCUGCAUUCCUUGGCCUGGCACCCAGGCCAUAGAUGUGAUUCUGAUACCUGUCUGAGCUCCUGAGUCAAAAGUUCUCUCUUUGGAAGCAUCCUGUCAGAUGUCUUGUCAGGUCUUGUUCUGAGCUGCAUGGACAGCUAUGCCCCCCACCUGGAUCCAUUAUGGUGGAUUAGGACUUGUAAUAAUAUGAGGUUAGGUAGAGGAUUCUCACCAUAUGAUUCCUAGGCAUCCAUCUUUGCUGUUCUUGGAAUAAAUCAUUCAGUUAGCAUCUUCUUCCUCCAGGUUUCUCUGAGCCUCAUCAGCUCACCAUUGGUCUCAGCUCAGUCAUCUCCUUUUGCAUUCUCUGUCCUUGCAGCCAUUUUCCUUGCCAAGAGAUUUCUGUCUGUGUCUUGUGCCCUUUGCUUGUCCUGUCCUGUCUGUCCUGUGUCACGGGUGUCAGCACACAUUUGUGCCGGGGCUGCUCUGCCCUGCCGCAUAGCCUGGUGCAAUAGGAGAAAUCCCGGGGUCUUGUAAUUUGUAAUGUGGGGUGUAGUUGGACUCUAGAUGGGAUUUGUAGAUGGACACAGGAUAUUUGGAGCUCUUCAGUUAUUCUGCAACCCUUUGACUUUUGCCCUUUUUUUCUGAUGCACCUCCUCCCGUGACUGCAGUAGUUCUGUAGGUUCCAUCUUCUCAAAGGGUUCCGGGGUCAAUAAUUCAUCUUCCAGAGAGUUAGCUCAAGUCCUGGUUUAUAUUGUAUGUACCUAUCUUGGCUUAAGUUGUAUCUACCUAUAUUGUAUGUACCUUUGCUGGCUUGUACUGUGUGUACUCACAUUGUAUGUACCUAUGCUGGCUUUUACUGUAUAUACCUAUGCUGGCUUAUACUGUAUGUACUUAAGGCGACAUGCUGACAUACAGUGUAUCUUGUGUGUACUUACACUCUCUGUACUCUUGAACUUUAUGCGUUGGCUUAUAUUGUGCGUACUUACGUUGUACCACUUGUGACUACCUGCCAGGGCAGGGCAGCUCUGAUCAUAGUUAGGUAGAGCAGUUAUAAAAAUUUUACUGUUCGUCUGUAUUUUGUGGGAUUUUGGGUAGAAAAUUUAUUGGUCCAGAGCGGGGACAAGUCCUGGCUGUCAGAUAGCCACUCGUUGACCACUUCCUGUCGUCUCACAGGUCCCCCAGGCUACUGAUUUCCCCAGAAUCUACCAUUUACGUCAAGGAGGGGCAGCCAGAAGAUGUGUCGAAGCACGUUCUUCAGCAUCUCAGGUUUUGCAAGUCAUUGUUAAAUUAAGAAUAAAAAAUCCC